Molecule: ribosomal RNA, 2118 nt
Filed under: Triticum aestivum (bread wheat)
Lineage: Eukaryota; Viridiplantae; Streptophyta; Magnoliopsida; Poales; Poaceae
Description: partial small subunit ribosomal RNA
Source: RNAcentral
AUGUAUGGUAAAAAUCGACACUUCAACUUUGUUUGGUUUGAGAACUAUAAAUGGCUAGAAUUUAGUGUCAAAUAUGAGGCUGCAUUUUGCUUUGGGUGUUAUUUGUUCAAAGGCAAAUCGAAUGGGGGCCCUAAGGGUGAUGCCUUUGUUAAAGGUGGUUGGAAAAAUUGGUAUAGGCCUGAUGCAUUAGACAAACAUGUGGGUGGUAUUAACAGCAUUCACAACAAAGCUCAAGAGAAGUACAAUUUAUUUGUGGCACCCCAACCAUCAAUUGAUAACAUUAUGGUGAGGGUGUGUAAAGAGGAUUUACGUAUGUACAAGGCUAGGCUGACUUAUUCACUUAGAUGCUUGAGGUUUCUUUUGAACCAAGGAUUGGCAUUUCGUGGACAUGAUGAGAGUGAAGAAUCUAGCAAUAGGGGGAACUUUCUUGAACUUCUUAAAUGGCUUUCGAAAAAUGACGAAGAAGUUAAUAAACAUGUAUUGAACAAUGCUCCUGGGAAUUGCAUCUUGACUAGUCCAAAGAUACAAAAUCAAAUAAUUGAAUAUUCUGCGGCGCAUACAACUAAAAGAAUUAUUGAAGAUAUUGGUGCUGACCACUAUGCAAUCCUAGCUGAUGAGUCUAAUGAUGCAUCUCAUAAAGAACAACUUGCUCUCUGCAUACGAUUUGUUGACAAAUCAGGAAGAGGAUGUGAGAGGUUCCUUGGAGUUGUUCAUGUUGCCAAUACAACUUCAUUGUCACUUAAGGAUGCAAUUCAAACUUUGCUUAAAGAUCAUCAUUUGACUCAUAGUCAAAUACGUGGGCAAGGAUAUGAUGGGGCUAGCAACAUGAAAGGGGAGGUUAAAGGGUUGAAAACAUUGAUCAUGAAAGAGUCACCCUUUGCCUAUUACAUCCAUUGUUUCGCACAUGAACUUCAGUUGGUUCUUAUAGCUGUGGCAAAGGACAAUGAACCAUGUUUGUGGUUCUUUGAUCAUGUUUCUUACUUUCUCAAUAUUGUUGGAGUUUCUUGUAAGCGCCAUGACAUGCUUCGAGAUGUUAGAGCUCAAAAGGUGUUGGAAGCACUUGAAAUGGGUGAGAUUGAAAGUGGAAGUGGGCUAAAUCAAGAGAUGGGACUAGCUAGACCCGGCGACACUUGUUGGGGUUCUCAUUUUAAAACCAUUAUGCACAUUGUUAGCAUGUAUUCCACAAUCCUUGAAGUACUUGAUGCUAUUGGAAAAGAUCCUUCACAAAAAAGUGAGUGGACAAGAAUACGUGGAUUUGCUCAAGCCUUUGAAUCAUUUGACUUUGUUUUCAAUCUUCACUUGAUGCUUGUUAUUCUUGGCUAUACAAAUGAGUUGUCCAAAUCUUUGCAAAAGAGAGAUCAAGAUAUUGUCAAUGCAAUGACAGUUGUUAGUUUGGCAAAGAGUAGAAUGCAACACAUGAGGUCUCAUGGUUGGGAAGAAUUUCUUGCAAAGCUAACCUUAUUUUGCAACAAACAUGACAUUGAAGUUCCUUUGUGGGAGGAUAUUUAUGAGCCUAAUCAAAGAUCACGUCAGUAUUAUGAAGUACAAACAAAUGAUCAUCGUUAUAGAAGAGAAGUAUAUCUUGGUGUCAUUGAUCAAACCAUUCAAGAGCUUGACAAUCGGUUUGAUGAGGUUAAUACGGAGUUGCUUAUUUGCAUGUCGGCUUUGAAUCCCCUCAAUUCAUUUGCUUCUUAUGAUGCACUCAAGGUAAUGAGACUUGCUGAAUUCUAUCCCAUGGACAUUUCAAGCACAGAUUUGAUAAGGCUAGAAUUUCAACUUACUAAUUUUAUUGAUGAUAUGAGACAAGAUGAUAGGUUUAGAAAUGCAAGUAAUAUUGGUGAGCUCUCUAUUAUGCUUGUUGCAACAAAGAAGCAUGUUCUUUAUGAUUUGGUCUACUUACUCAUCAAACUGAUAUUGAUUUUACCGGUGGCGACGGCGAGUGUUGAAAGAGUAUUUUCAGCAAUGAAUCUAGUGAAAAAUAAGUUGAGGACUACUAUGAGUGAUGAUCGCUUGAAUGAUUGCUUGGUGACAUUUAUUGAACGGGAUGUGUUCAUGGAAGUAAGCGAAGAUGACAUAGUUGAUGCUUUCAUGGCAAUGCAAAAACGUAGAGUUACCUAG